GUCCAGCUGAUGAGUCUCAAAUAGAACGAAAUGCGCGUCCUGGAU
Molecule: non-coding RNA, 45 nt
Filed under: Schistosoma curassoni
Lineage: Eukaryota; Metazoa; Platyhelminthes; Trematoda; Strigeidida; Schistosomatidae
Source: RNAcentral